RNAcentral lists this ribosomal RNA (440 nucleotides) under uncultured bacterium. Its description in RNAcentral is "partial 16S ribosomal RNA". It matches the Rfam family "Bacterial small subunit ribosomal RNA", at positions 338 to 795 of the family's 1533-position model. The record is from RNAcentral.
CCUACGGGUGGCAGCAGUGGGGAAUAUUGCACAAUGGGGGAAACCCUGAUGCAGCAACGCCGCGUGAGUGAUGACGGCCUUCGGGUUGUAAAGCUCUGUCUUCAGGGACGAUAGUGACGUUAGAUGGGGAGGAAGCAACGGCUAACUACGUGCCAGCAGCCGCGGUAAUACGUAGGUGGCGAGCGUUGUCCGGUAUUCGUGGGCGUAAAGGGAGCGUAGGGGGACUUUUAAUUUCGUUGUGAAAUACUCGGGCUCAACUUGAGUGCUGCAUAUCAUACUGGAAGUCUAGAGUGCAGGAGAGGAGAAUGGAAUUCCUAGUGUAGCGGUAAAAUGCGUAGAGAUUAGGAAGAACACCAGUGGCGAAGGCGAUUCUCUGGACUGUAACUGACGCUGAGGCUCGAAAGCGUGGGGAGCAAACAGGAUUAGAUACCCGAGUAGUC